CAAGCAUUAAGUUGUCAUAUUUUCAGAUAAGGAUUGAUAAUAUUAUUUCUUGUUCUCUAUUUCACAAUUACAGUUGUACUAAAUCCUUUCAUUCAAUACUUAGACAUCCACAUACAUAUUUAGCUUUAUAUUUAGCAUAGACAUUAUUUAGGUGUUCCAUACUUGGUGCUACAAGAUUUAACACAAUCAUCAUACCAUUUGUUUCUCAGAUACUGAGAUAACCUUGCGUAUUUUAUGGGAUUCGGACAACAUAGACUAACGGCAAAAAAAUCUGAUGUAAAAAAAAGCGGUAUCUAACACUAACCUUCAAUCCCUGGACGUGAGCUUCAGAGUUAAAGUCAACUUUGGAUAUGAAGAAUCCGGUGGCGUACUCUCUGCCGCCCCUGAGCGCGAAGCCGAAGGCAGGCGCGGUUCUGCGCGGGCGCACCAGGCGCACGGCGCGCACGCGUCGGUCUCCCGCCACAGCACCCACUGCCCGGCCAGACCCUGAGGUCGUUGUGGACGCUGUUGAUGUCGCGUACAUUUUCACCCUGCAAGGAAUUAUAAAAAUACUUGUAUGACCACAAACGUUGAAAAUAAAAUACAUAGUAACUAUCCAAGAAAGAGGUGCUUCUACGAUGAUAAUGGCUGCAAAGAGGCCUACACUUACACAAAGUAAGAUAUGCUUUAUUUAAUAUAAAGUAGAUAACACUGAAACCACGAAAAACAAAUGGUAAGUAAUCAAAACUUUAUCCCAAAAGUCUUAUGUUUUUUACUUGUGAAGUGACGUCCGAUGGAGUAGGUACGGAAGAACAUGCUGGACAUGCUGUGCUGGCACAUGAUUCCGAAAAAAAAUUGAGGACUUGGACUUUAAAAACAUCUAUUUCCAAGUGUACCAUAAGAACUUACUUUACAUGGAUGAUUUAUUCAUUUUACUUAAAAGUGUUUGAAAUCAAAGACAGCGUAAACAUUCAUAAAACCUUUCUACUCAUCACUCUUUACCUAAUUCAUUGUAAAACUUUUUGUGUCAAUGUGCCGUUACAGAACCUCCGCAUGUAAAUAUUCAGAUAAAUAAACAGAUAAUUGGUUGAGGCCCACCGCAUUAUGCAAAA
This is a long non-coding RNA of Helicoverpa zea (corn earworm), 1091 nucleotides long. RefSeq lists it as uncharacterized. The record is from RefSeq and is a predicted model, not a curated record. The transcript has 2 exons. Lineage: Eukaryota; Metazoa; Arthropoda; Insecta; Lepidoptera; Noctuidae.